RNAcentral lists this ribosomal RNA (253 nucleotides) under uncultured bacterium. Its description in RNAcentral is "partial 16S ribosomal RNA". It matches the Rfam family "Bacterial small subunit ribosomal RNA", at positions 524 to 776 of the family's 1533-position model. The record is from RNAcentral.
UACGUAGGGGGCUAGCGUUGUCCAGAAUCAUUGGGCGUAAAGAGCGUGUAGGCGGCUCGGUAAGUCCGCUGUGAAAGUCCAGGGCUCAACCCUGGAAUGCCAGUGGAAACUGUCGAGCUAGAGUCCGGAAGAGGCGAGUGGAAUUCCUGGUGUAGCGGUGAAAUGCGCAGAUAUCAGGAGGAACACCAAUGGCGAAGGCGAGUCCCUGGACAACUCCUGACACUGAUGCACGAAAGCUAGGGGAGCAAACAGG